CUGUUGCACCAGAAGUAGGUAGCCUAACCGCAAGGAGGGCGCUUACCACGGUGUGGCCGAUGACUGGGGUGAAGUCGUAACAAGGUAGCCGUAGGUGAACCUGCAGAAGGAUCA
Molecule: ribosomal RNA, 114 nt
Filed under: uncultured eukaryote
Lineage: Eukaryota
Description: partial small subunit ribosomal RNA
Rfam family: Bacterial small subunit ribosomal RNA
Source: RNAcentral